CUUGAACGCUGGCGGCAGGCCUAACACAUGCAAGUCGAACGAGUGGCGGACGGGUGAGUAAUGUCUGGGAAACUGCCUGACGGAGGGGGAUAACUACUGGAAACAGUAGCUAAUACCGCAUACCAUCGGAUGUGCCCAGAUGGGAUUAGCUAAUAGGUGGGGUAAAGGCUCACCUAGGCGACGAUCACUAGCUGGUCUGAGAGGAUGACAAGCCACCCUGGAACUAUGACAGGGUCAAGACUACAACGGUAGGCAGCAGUGGGGAAUAUUGCACAAUGGGCGCAAGCCUGAUGCAGCGAUGCCGCGUGUAUGAAGAAGGCCUUCGGGUUGUAAGGUACUUUCAGCGGGGAGUCGUUACCCGCAGAAGAAGCACCGGCUAACUCCGUGCCAGCAGCCGCGGUAAUAC
RNAcentral lists this ribosomal RNA (406 nucleotides) under uncultured bacterium. RNAcentral's name for it is "partial 16S ribosomal RNA". It matches the Rfam family "Bacterial small subunit ribosomal RNA", at positions 30 to 526 of the family's 1533-position model. The record is from RNAcentral.